UCUUUCCUUACUCUCUCUCAUUGUUUAUUUCUGCAAACUUUCUCAGGCAAUAUCAAUUCUCAUCGGAAAAUUGUAUCAUCGAAUUGAUAUACAACAUUGUAAUUCACAACAACUUAUGAGGUAGUCAGGGUCUUUAUUCCGCGACAAAUUUAUUAAGCUUUUAACUCUAACUUGAGAGGAUUCAUGAAGUGAAGAAACAAUGAUUUGAUUUCAGAACUCAACAGAUCAACAAUCUCAUAAGAUGUUUCGACAUCAUGUAACUACUCCAAGUAAAGAAUGGAUGACUGCACCCAAGGGUUCACCUCGAUGGAUUAAAGGUGUUCAAUCUUUCAUCCAAUUUACAGCAGAGAGUCUUGGUGUAGGUAUCAAAGAAUUUCGAUGUCCUUGCAUGAAAUGUAAGAAUUUCGGUAGUUUACCAAAAUCUCUAGAUGAUGUACAUGGGGAUAUCCUUGAUAAUGGGUUCUUACUGUCAUACCGAAUAUGGAUCCAUCAUGGAGAGAAAGCUCGGGUGAAUAAUGUUAAUGCUCCCACCUUACCUGCAAAUAAUGUUGUGAAUUAUGCUGCUGUGUCUCAUUCGAAAAUAUAUGACUUGUUCAAUGAGGCGCAUGGAGGUGUACUUGGUCUUGAUACCCCUGCAGAAUGUCUUAAUGAUCCUGAUCACCUGCCGGCUGCUACUGUUGAAGAUUGUUCUGGUGGCAAUGUUAAAGAUAAGGCUACUGUCGAUUGCAAGAAGAGGUUGAAGGAUACAGUGCAAUCCUUAUUUCCAGGUUGUGGUGAUGAACAUACAAAACUGUCAGCAACAGUUGAGUUGUUAAGUAUGCAGGCAAGGUAUCAAUGUUCUGAUGUUUUCAUGACAGAGUUAUUGGGAUAUAUGAAAACUAUUCUACCAGCUGGGAACACGUUACCAUCUACUUGUAGUAAAGCUAAGCAGAUGAUCAAGCCAUUUCAGUUGCCGGUGUAAAUUAUUCAUGCUUGUAUUAACGAUUGUAUUCUCUAUCGCAAGGAGUAUGCCAAUGACGAUAAGUGUCCUAAAUGUGGUGAAAGUAGAUGGCAAAAACCACCAGAAGGGAGUAGUACAACUGCUAAAAAGGUUCCGGUGAAUAGACUGAGGUAUUUUCCGGUCACGGAAAGGUUACAACGGAUGUAUGGCACCGCGUGGAUUACUGAGUUGAUGACAUGGCAUGCUAAGGUUCAAGAAAGUGCUACACACAUGAGACAUCCGGUGGAUUCUGCACAGUGUAAGGAGAUUGAUAAGAAGUGGCCUGAGUUUGCUUCAGAAAAAAGAAAUGUUCGUCUAGGAUUAGCAACAGAUGGUUUUAAUCCUUUUGGAAUGAUGAGCACGCACAGUACUUGGCCUGUUAUGAUUGUUUGUUACAACCUUCCACCAUCUGAAUGCACGACAAAGGAUUUCACAAUGUUAACCCUGCUGAUUCCUGGUCCACUUGGUCCCAACCAUAACAUUGAUGUUUAUUUGCAGCCACUGAUCGACGAGUUAAAUGAGUUAUGAUCACUUGGAAAGGUAACCUACGAUGCACAUACGAAGACUGACUUUACAAUGAGAGCAAUGUUGUUGUGGUGUAUAUAUGACUUUCCUGCGUAUGCGCAUGUUUCUGGUUUGCAAACUUCUGGAAAAUAUGGUUGUCCUGUGUGUGGAGAAAAUACAGAGGCAUUUUGGCUAAAAUGCGGUUCCAAAUUUGCUUAUAUGGGUCAUAGAAGGUUUCUAAGAGAUCGGUUUUACCCUUAUAGAAAGAAAACAUCCCAAUUCAACGGAAGAGAGGAUUUAAGGGUUGCACCAAGACGUUUGAGUGGCGGUGAAUUGUUCCACAAGACAGCAACUGCAGAUAAAGAAUUUGGGAAGUUGGUAAAGCGGCCUGCCGUUGAUUCUCCUUGGUCAAAGAGGUCAAUCUUUUUUCAGCUCCCGCAUUGGAAGUUUCUACAAAUCCGGCACAAUGUGGAUGUCAUGCAUGUAGAAAAGAAUUUUGCAGAGAAUCUGUUUGGAACUUUUAUGUGCCAUAAAGAUAAGUCUAAGGAUGGGGCUCCAGCGCGAAGAGAUUUAAAAAUGCUAAACUUAAAGCCUAGCCUGUGGUUGACGGAAAGGAACAGAAGAGACAUACUCCCUCCUGCACCUUAUUGGAUGUCUAAGAAAGAAAGGGAAGUUAUUUGUAAAACUUUCAGCACACUUAAAAUUCCAAUUGGUUACAGUGGGAAUUGGAAAAAAAAAAAGUAUGCUUGAAAGAGUUCCAAUUGAAGGGUCUAAAGUCGCACGACUAUCACAUCCUUAUGCAGGGUUUAAUGCCUAUUUUUAUAAUGCAUUGUUUCAAAAAACAGAAGCCUUUGCGCGAGGCAGUUAGAAACUUGUCGUUGUUUUUCAAAGUCCUUACCUCUAAGGUUAUUGAACGUGCUGAGCUUCGUGUAAUCCAUGAUCGUGUCGUGGAGUCCUUAUGCGUGUUUGAAAUGUAUUUCUCUCCUGCAUUUUUUGUUAGUAUGACUCAUGUUGUCGUACACUUGGCAGAAGAGGCAUAUCAAUUGGGGCCUGUUCAAUUUAGGUGGAUGUACCCUUUCGAGAGGAUGAUAAGAGUCUACAAGGUUCUUGGUCGGAACAAAAAUUAUAUAGAAGGCUCUAUUACAAAACAGUAUGAGGUUAAUGAAGGAGCGCACCAUUGCGCCGAGAUCCUUCCGAUGCGAAGCGAAAGUCUUUUAAGUGUCGUGGAAAGAUAGAGAAGCCCUGUGAUGCUUAUGAAGGUCCAUACCCAGUUAGUUCGCAAGGAAAAUCAUGUUCAUUAACCAACUUACAGUAUGAACAAAUUCGUUUGUGGAUAUUGAGACACGCAGAUGAAAAUACUGAAUGGGAAGCGAAAUACGUUAUAUAUCUUCGCAACUUUAACCAAAGUCGUGUGGGAAGGAUGAAGUGUUUGGACUACAUUCCGUGGCUACAGGAACAACUUGAAGGCAAUUACAUGACAGAUUUCUAUAGGCUGGCAUUUGGUCCUUCCUUCUCGGCAGUUUCGUAUAACGCAUACUUUAUUAAUGGAUAUCUUUUCUAUACAGCCGAUGCAGAAAAAGGUUUUAUUACACAAAAUAGUGGAGUUACCAUGGAUGCUUGUACCAGUUUCAGAGCAAGUUCGAGAGAUACUAACCUUGUCGAUGAUGAUACUACAUACUACGGAAUUCUGCAAGAUAUAGUUGAAGUGGACUAUGGAGUUUUCACAUAAGUUGUUUUUAACUGUCAUUGGGUGCGAAUGGAAGACAAAGUAAAGGGAUCAUAUGUGGAUCGAGAUACAAACUCAAGGUUUGUCAACUUCAAAAGGUUUAUGAGGAGCUCAAAAGAAGCCGACGAGCCAUUCAUCCAUGCUUCUCAAGAUAGACAAGUUUUUUACUGCCAAGAUGUGACAAGGAAGCAUUGGAAUUUGGUUUUGGAAUCUCCAAUAAGAUCACACCCCAAUAAGAACGCUUAUGAAGAUCCAUUUGUCUUUACUGGAGCCGCGAAUGAAGCUCCAUCAAUUUCGACAACUGUUGGAGAUGAUGAGUAUUGGAAUGGAGAUGCUCAGGCCAAUAAUGAGUAUUUGGAUCAAUAUGUUGAGGAAAAUACCUGAAUGUGGAUUGUGGCAUAUAUGCAAUCAUGUAGACAGUUACACCUAAUUACAGAAAGGUACGCCAUUAUGAAGUAGGAAUAACUUCUUCGUCAUCAUCGGAUUUUAUAAUUUUGCUGUUUAAUCAAUAUUAAUUCAUCGUUUUGUAAUAGAAUCCUAGAACUACAGAUUACACUCAUCGUUUUGUAAUAGAAUCCUAGAACUACAGAUUACACUGGUCAGAACUACAAAUUUAAUCCUUUGUGUAAUUUGAAACAAAUGAAUCAAUGAAUGUUAAAUUGAAUCUUUAUUUGUGU
This is a long non-coding RNA of Papaver somniferum (opium poppy), 3886 nucleotides long. RefSeq lists it as uncharacterized. Lineage: Eukaryota; Viridiplantae; Streptophyta; Magnoliopsida; Ranunculales; Papaveraceae. The record is from RefSeq and is a predicted model, not a curated record. The transcript has 7 exons.